RNAcentral lists this ribosomal RNA (359 nucleotides) under uncultured eukaryote. RNAcentral's name for it is "partial 18S ribosomal RNA". It matches the Rfam family "Eukaryotic small subunit ribosomal RNA", at positions 592 to 976 of the family's 1831-position model. The record is from RNAcentral.
CAAUAGUGUAUCUUAACGUUGUUGUAGUUAAAAAGCUCGUAGUUGAAUUUCUGGCGUUCCCGCAGCCUCUUAUGAGCGCUAUACGGGGGCGUCAUCCGCUUGGGAAGGCGUUCUGUGGGAAACUACGAGCGUUGGAACAGGCAUUUUACUUUGAAGAAAUUAGAGUGUUCCAGGCAGGCCUUGCUUGAAUAUAUCAGCAUGGAAUAAUGGAAUAGGAUUCGUCCUUUUAUUGGUGAUUGGACGUUUAAUGAUUAACAGGGACAGUUGGGGGCAUUCGUAUUCAUUUGUCAGAGGUGAAAUUCUUGGAUUAGAUGAAGACGAACUAAUGCGAAAGCAUUUGCCAAGGAUGUUUUCAUUAA